Molecule: ribosomal RNA, 232 nt
Filed under: uncultured bacterium
Lineage: Bacteria
Description: partial 16S ribosomal RNA
Rfam family: Bacterial small subunit ribosomal RNA
Source: RNAcentral
UAGCGUUAUCCGGAUUUACUGGGCGUAAAGAGUACGUAGGUGGUUUCCUAAGCAUGGGUUUAAGGCAACGGCUUAACCAUUGUUCGCCCCAUGAACUGGGUUACUUGAGUGCUGGAGGGGAAAGCGGAAUUCCUAGUGUAGCGGUGAAAUGCGUAGAUAUUAGGAGGAACACCGGUGGCGAAGGCGGCUUUCUGGACAGUAACUGACACUGAGGUACGAAAGUGUGGGGAGC